CUUUACUCAGGUUUCUCUUAUAUGAAAUAGCUGUUCAACGCACAGGGUGGUUGUGAUAGUGAAAUAAGAAAAUGUGAGUAAAAGUCCUUUGGAAACCAUGGCAGCACUAACCCUAUGCCGGGGAUUCUUACUGCUGCUAUAGUUAUUGCCACUGAUCGUAAAUAAAUCAUGUUGUUUUCAGACAUCAUCCCAUAAGCCCUGGCCAUCUAAAGGUUUUCUUGCUGCAACAAGGAAAUGGCAACUCACUCCAGUAGUCUUGCCUGGGAAGUCCAUGGAUAGAGGAGCCUGGCAGGCUGCAGUCCGUGGGGUCUUUGCAACUACACCACCACUCUGCAAGCCAGCAGAGUGCAACCCAUAUCUUUGUCCUAGAGAUGUGACAGACUAUGUGGGUGAGCGGAAGAGACCUCAAAGCCACUUCCUAACAGCUCAGGGUCUCACAGCUUCCCAAAGUAACCAGGUGCCGAGACAGAUGACCCUACAAAACCAGUCAGGGAUGUCGGAGGAGGAACUGAGACUAUCGUGCGUGCUCGAUCAGGGAGGUGAAAGCUCACGGUAGCGCCACAGGCCAAGCUCCACCACCGGCUAAAGGUUAAGAAGCAGCUGUAGCCUUCAAGCAAGGCCAAGGCUGGAGGUCCCUAUGCUUGGAAGAGGCUGCUACGAGGCUUCUCUUUGCCUGGAAUCCUUGGCAAAACUGCAGAAAGCCCAACUGGGAAGCUGGACUCUCUAAUGGAGACCUCUAGUUGGGGCCAAAGUAAAGUGAUGUCCCACAGACUCCAAGUCACCUAUGUCGUAUGUAGCACCGAGAGAGAACAAAUACCAACAGUGAAACACUCCAUUGAUUCUAAGACACAGUCCAAGCUCAUAGAGGCUUCAGUGUGAAAAAGUUGCGUCUUAGAAUUGGUGAAAAUAGGGCACUGUUGCUACGUACAAACAGCAAGAAGAGAAGAGAAGCACCGGAAGGGAACAUUCUCAUGGUCCACCAGCGAGUCUACCCGCCAUGUCUCUGUGUUCCUCCUUUGGCAACGCGCUGCCCGUGCCCCCAUCUACAUCAACCCUGCACCCAUGCCUGGGUGCCAUCCCCUCUCAACAGCGUAAGGACCCAACACCCCCGCAACCCCUGCUCCUCUCCUCUGCAUGGUUGGUUUUUCGUCUCUACUCGUGCGUUUCCACGCCCCAAAGCCAUGAAAUCAUGUCUUCCUUCUGGAUCUCUCUCCAAUUCCUUUCUUGGCUGCACUUUAUACAAAAUUCCUUAGAAGAGAUGGGUACUCUUGUUACCUGUCCUCUCCUCCCACGUGUUUCUUUGAACCCUGAUGGGAACACCAGGCUUCCAUCCCCCUUGCUCCAUCUGAAGUUUCUAGCCAGGUCCUCAGUGAUCAUCCAUGGCCAAACCCAAGGGU
Bos taurus (domestic cattle) is the source of this 1397-nucleotide long non-coding RNA. Lineage: Eukaryota; Metazoa; Chordata; Mammalia; Artiodactyla; Bovidae. The record is from Ensembl.